Molecule: long non-coding RNA, 381 nt
Organism: Scylla paramamosain (green mud crab)
Lineage: Eukaryota; Metazoa; Arthropoda; Malacostraca; Decapoda; Portunidae
Exons: 3
Source: RefSeq, a predicted model, not a curated record
CCCAAAAUGAGGACUGUAGCUGGUAUAGCUGAGGGCAAUUUUUGGGCCGCGAGCAUAAUGCUGUAUGGUGGCUUAGCCUACUUCAUAAGAGACUGGAGGAUUCUCCAGACAGCAGUGACCCUGCCCGCACUACUCAUCCUGCCUGUUUUAUGUUUUAUAGAUGAGUCUCCGCGAUGGUUGUUCAUUAACGGCAAACCUCAGGAAGCCCUCCUAGUUCUCGGCAAGGUGGCUCAAUGGCAUAAUGUUGAAGUUCCACCUGAGGCAGCGAUGACAGAACUGGUUGACGAACUGCAGGAAACACGGGCUUCCACGACCCAGCAACAGCUGUCCUUGUGGGUUCUCUUCAAAUCCAUUAUACAUGGAGCCUUGAUGUUGUUCAGG